Molecule: ribosomal RNA, 253 nt
Filed under: uncultured bacterium
Lineage: Bacteria
Description: partial 16S ribosomal RNA
Rfam family: Bacterial small subunit ribosomal RNA
Source: RNAcentral
UACGUAGGGUGCGAGCGUUGUCCGGAAUUAUUGGGCGUAAAGGGCUCGUAGGCGGUUUGUCGCGUCGGGAGUGAAAACACACAGCUUAACUGUGUGCUUGCUUCCGAUACGGGCAGACUAGAGGUAUGCAGGGGAGAACGGAAUUCCUGGUGUAGCGGUGAAAUGCGCAGAUAUCAGGAGGAACACCGGUGGCGAAGGCGGUUCUCUGGGCAUUACCUGGCGCUGAGGAGCGAAAGUGUGGGGAGCGAACAGG